This 95-nucleotide small RNA is filed under the name Salmonella enterica. Its description in RNAcentral is "partial RtT sRNA". It matches the Rfam family "RtT RNA", at positions 1 to 91 of the family's 130-position model. Rfam says of the family: This family represents a bacterial cis-regulatory element known as RtT RNA. The exact function of RtT is unknown although it is thought that it may be involved in changing the cellular response in relation to amino acid starvation. Lineage: Bacteria; Pseudomonadati; Pseudomonadota; Gammaproteobacteria; Enterobacterales; Enterobacteriaceae. The record is from RNAcentral.
UGUAUCUGAAGUCUGACGAGGAUGAGAACCUCCGGGGGCAAGAGGUUCGACUCGAGCGAAGCGAGAGAACGUUGCGUCAGCAACGGCCCGCAGAG